GUAUGCGCCCCGCCCCACCUCGCGCUGGGUUGGUCUUAAGUACUGUCGCUCGGAACUAGCCCCGUGGAUUCCGCUCAUCCUCAUUGGGCGAGGAGCCUAGGCCCCCUGAAGAAGCCUCUCCCCAUUGGCCGCUCCGAAGUCCACAUGCCCCGUCUGCGCCUCUCAAGAGCGAUUGGCCGCCGCUACUGUCGCUCUUCGAAAGAAGCCAGCCUGAUUCCCCCUUCUCGGGCCGCAGGGUAACUCUCCCAGGUGUGACUCCGCCCCCUCCGCCCUAUUGGCUGCCCGAGGCUGCAGGCUGCAGUUCACUUAGGCAAAUUUAAAGAACUCUGAGCUUCGGUGCGGUGGGUGCUUGGAGGAGAACCGCGCCGACUGCGAGGGAACAUAGAACUCUGGAUCUGGCCGCGCUGUUUUCUCGGAGACCGAGCCCCACGUCAGCGUGGCCGCACAGAUGUCGCAGCGUGGGCCGACGCUCCAGGCAUGACGUCAUCUGCUGACCACUGCCCACCGCCUCUGACGUGUGGCCGGGCGUCACCUGCGGCUCCUCCCUCUGUGGGGAGCUCGGACUGGUACAGGAUUUGGGACAUGGACGGGCCUGGGGCCCGGGGCUGGGCCUGGCUUGCGGACCGGAAGUGGGGCAGAGGUGACUCCGGGAGAGCCGGCGGGGCUGGGCAGCCGGGCCCGACCGCAGGUGUCAGGUAUUUCAGUAAGACAGUGGUGCACCCCUGUAAACUCAGCACUGGGAAUGCAAAGGCAGGAGGAUCGAAGGUUGGAGGGAAAGGCAGCGGCCGAGACCACCAUUACAUAAGUGCAAAGUCUGGCCUCCAGCCCUCAGGCCCUGCUCCCCACUCCACUCUCCCAGGGACACUCACUCUUCAGAAACGAAAUUCCAUGAGCCAUGAGUAUACACCUAUAGUCCCAGCACUCAGGAGGCUGAGGCAGGAGGAUCACUUAAGCCCAGGAGUUCGAAACCAGCCUGGGACACAUAAUAAGACUGUCUAAAAGAAAAAAAAAAAAAAAAA
RNAcentral lists this long non-coding RNA (1019 nucleotides) under Heterocephalus glaber (naked mole-rat). RNAcentral describes it as "lncRNA (ENSHGLG00100047105.1)". The record is from RNAcentral. Lineage: Eukaryota; Metazoa; Chordata; Mammalia; Rodentia; Bathyergidae.